RNAcentral lists this ribosomal RNA (253 nucleotides) under uncultured bacterium. RNAcentral's name for it is "partial 16S ribosomal RNA". It matches the Rfam family "Bacterial small subunit ribosomal RNA", at positions 524 to 776 of the family's 1533-position model. The record is from RNAcentral.
UACGGGGGGUGCAAGCGUUGUUCGGAAUUACUGGGCGUAAAGGGCUCGUAGGUUGCCAACUAAGUCAGACGUGAAAUCCCUCGGCUUAACCGGGGAACUGCGUCUGAUACUGGAUGGCUUGAGUUCGGGAGAGGGAUGCGGAAUUCCAGGUGUAGCGGUGAAAUGCGUAGAUAUCUGGAGGAACACCGGUGGCGAAGGCGGCAUCCUGGACAGACACUGACACUGAGGAGCGAAAGCCAGGGGAGCAAACGGG